This 3669-nucleotide long non-coding RNA is filed under the name Homo sapiens (human). RNAcentral's name for it is "HSALNT0375616". The record is from RNAcentral. Lineage: Eukaryota; Metazoa; Chordata; Mammalia; Primates; Hominidae.
GAAAUGAAGGAGGAAAUCUCUUUAUAAAGGUUUCUAAAGAAAUUAAAAAAAUUAACUUGUACAUUGACUUUGUAAUGGAAGUGAGAACAUACAGGAAAGCCCUUUGGGGAGUUAGCUUUAGAAGGGAAAUACCGGGAAAUACAAGUAAGACAAGGCACUUACAGAAAAAGUAGAAAUUUCAUGUUUAAUAAAUGGUCAAAUUUAACAUAGCUCUGAAUAUAUAAUUUUCCAUUAGAAUAUUGGUAACAACAUUGCAGUAAACUUGAGUCUGGGUACCCCGCACUGAGUAAAAAUGGUAGAUUCUAUUUUGUGUGAGUUCAGUCAAAGAGACAUGGGGGACAAUUAGUCCGGUCUCUGCUUCUGUUGUUUAGCAGAGCCUCCAGCCCGGAAGCACACUGAGAUGUCUUGUGUUUUUCAGAUCUUUAAUUUUUGAAUGCUGUACUGUACCCAAGGACCUCGCUUUUUUUCACUGUGCAUAUGCAUGAUGUGGGACAUCCCAUAUUGGAGACACAGAUGACUUAUUGAAAGCCCUGCCUAAGACUUAAUUAAUAUCAGCAUUUCAAGUAGCUUGCAAGAUUGGAUUCUGUGGCUAUAUACUAUAGGAAUAUAGACUUCCUGGUCUUUUUCUUACUGCCUCCAAAUAUAACCAGAUAAUCCUCUGUCUGGUUUCUUGGGAGCCACUUGUAUCUUACUUUCUUGCAGGAACAUUCUAAAGGGUUCCUUCAGAAAACUUGGGAAAGUGUAAGACUAAAGACAAACCACAGCCUGAAGCCUAGGCUGCUGACUUGAGCACAGAUGGGAGAAUGUUAACAGCCAAGAAAUAUGAGGUCUUUGGCUCUUUUCCCAGAACUGCCAGGCUAAGACCUUGGCAGAGACUCAACAGGAAACUGAACUCUAUUUGCAUAUCCUUUUAUACAUGGGAGAUUAAAAGCUUCAACCUUGAGUGAUCACAGUUUUUGAGAAUCAUGAUGAGGCAUUAAAGAAGAGGAGGAGUGUCUCAAGGGAGGUGAGCUGGAGGUGAUGCAAGCCUCAGACUCAGGGCUGGGACCCUUGGGACUCAAAAGAGAGAAAAGGUGGAGAAAAGAGAAAGCUACUAUUUUCUUCAUUUUGCCCCUGCUAACAUCCAAUGCACUUAGGAGCCUCGAUGUCUGCUCUCCAAGAGUGGAGAGAGGAUGCCAGACAGAUAUUUGAGCAGAACAAAGAGAGCCAACAGGAUGAAGGCAUUCCCUGGCUGGUUGGACAAGCAACUGAAGAACAGGAACAGAAGUGAAUGAAAAGAGAAGAUGCUGUGUUUGUGUUUUCUCUUGGUUAGAAUGCUGUGAGUCAGGACCUUAGCUGCUGGGUGUCCUGGGACUGCCUUCGAUGAAGAACCUGAGGCUCACCUUGCUUAAGUGACUUGAGCAGCUUCACGCAUCUUGUAAGUAGUAGAGACAGAGUCAAAACCAGAUCUUCCUGCCCUCUCUAUCAUAUAAACCACUUACACUGAAUUACAAAGUGAAACUGAUCUAUGGUGAAUUGUACUAAUGUUCUGCUUCUGCCAUGGGCACCAGAGGAGAUACCUUUCUUUGUUGACACUAAUCUCAAAGGCUAAAUUAGAUCCCCCAAACUCAUUUCCAUUAAUAACAUGUCAAAGGCUUGUGUCAUGCGUUAAUUUAUCCAAAGUGAUCUUGAUUCUAUUUACAUUUUGGUGCCACCUUUUAAUGUCACCAUUUUUAUAAAUUAAAUAUGUAAUAUAUAAAGCCAGUCUUCACUUACUGAUAUGUUAAUUUUUAACCCAAACUUCUUAGUCUGACAUUCCAGCAAUACCGGAGCAUUGACAGUUGAUAAUAGCUCUAUGUGCUACCUCUCCAAGAAACAAAUUUGCAUUUUAACCUGCCCCUUCAAUGGCUGAACUUCAAAGGGUCACUGAUGAAUGCCACAGCAGAGAAAACUGCAAAUUGGAACAGCAGAGCUGUGCCUCUGGCCAUUUCCUGGAACUACAGAGGAGCAACUUGCCCCGGUUUCCAGUGGGUGAUGUUCCUCUUCUGCCACAGUCCCUGGCGAUGUUGAUGUGAUUGCCAUCAGAGCUCAGAAGCACAGAGCAGAAUCAUCCCCUGGAGGAGGAUUCCCUUCAGUUUGGUGAACAAGCUAAAGGAAUCGUAGAUUGUUUUUACUCCUGCCACAUGGUGGAGCUACUUCAGCUUUAAUGGAAAGAACCAGCCAUUGUUAGUAUGGAAAUUGAUUGCCUCUUCAUUUCACAACACACCACAUGGAUCCUCUACACUGGUGGACCAGGAAAUCGCAACUACUUUAGACACCUUGGUAAGACCCAUAGAGGCAAGAGGUUGUGAAAUAAAUCCCAGAAAAAUUUAGAAGUUUGCUCCUUCAGGAACUUUCUUGGGGUUUCAUGGUCUGGGGAAAGUUGAGAUAUCUCUUUCAAGGUGAAGUUCAAUGCUACAUCUGGUCUCUCCUACCAUAAAGAAAGAGUCCCAAUUUCUGGUGUGCCUCAUUGGAUUUUGGAGGCAACAUAUCUUAUUUGGGUGUGUUGUUAUAGUCUAAACCUAUUUGCUGAAUGAGUAAUCUGAAAGGCUUCCAGUUUUGAAUAAGGCCUGGCGAAAGACAAGCCCUUGUGAGAGGGUGGCAAGCUUCCCUGCCACUUUGGUCAUAUGACACAUCUGAUUCAGUGGUGCUUAAAGUGCCUAUUGAGCUUUUGGCAGGCCUCUUAGGUAAAUUCCAGAACAGACUUUUAGAAUCUGGGAGCAAAGCCAUGCCAUACUCUGCAGAUAACUUUUUUUUUCUUUUUUCUUUUUUUUUCUUUUUCUUUUUCUUUUUUUUUUUUUUUUUUUUUGAGAAACAGCUCUUGGCUCUUUGCUGGAUCCUAGUAUUUGACCAUGGACCAUUAAGUAUCAUGUGACCAGAAAUGCCCCCUAUGAAAUGAGUAUUGCUUAACCCACCACCAUGUUCUGUUGGUUAUAAUCAAGUCACAGAGCCAGUCCAGAUCAAGGGGAAGGAAUUAUGCAAAAUUCCGAAUACUGAGAGACAUAGUUCAUUGGAAGACCAUCUUUGGAAACCAGCAGCUAUCACAGUUUCCUUGGAUAUUUUCUGAAUAGAGAGAUUCUUACAUUAAUAACUGUUCUCUUCACCAAUAAAUAUUUAUGGAGAACAUACAGUAUGUGCAGAACCUGAACAUAAGUGGAAGAAACAGGGAAAGCAUUGCACCUUCCUCAAAGUUUGUGCAUUCUACCAUGAAAUAUUCACACUAACAUUGAAGCUAAGAGUAGGCUGGAAAUCCCAGAAGUGAAAAUUAAUAUACUGGUACUGAUGGUCAAUGGGUGUAUUAUAGCUCUCUGUGGUGAAAUAAAUAGAUUGAUAAUGGGCUUCUGUAUAUAGUUGUAUCAACAAUAAAACGAUGGAAUGCUUUCUAGCUCAAGAUUUUUACAACCCAAUGAUCCUUAAUCUGGUAACUCAUUCCUCAUAAGACUCAUUCCUCAUAAGACCUGCUUACCUCAAAGAAUUGUUUAUGAGGAUACGUUAAAAUAAGUAUCAGAAAGGACCUUGUAAACUAUAAACAAUGGUACAAAUGUAAGAGACAGUUAUUGCAUUUUCAAAAAGAACUCAUAAUAGGCGUGAUGUAAAUAUUUGUUGAAUAAAUGAAUGAGAAAAUAAAAUAAAUUCUUGAGACAAAUUUAA